UAUAUAGGACGUUUGUCUAAAAAUAAUGGUAUAAAUGUUAGCUUGUCAUUUAGAGUUUUUUUGAUAGUGCAUUGAGAUAUUCUAAAAUUGACUCAUGAUGGUCCACGUAACCCACCUUGUUUAAAAAUAGAAGUUUAUAAAAAAAAAGUAAGAUAAAAUUGCAAUGUGCACCAUUAACACUUGGCCAUGCAACCACUUUUGUUCCCACUUCUCGCAGUCAUGCUUAUUCCCCUCUCUUAUUGUCUUACACCACCACUGCAUACCACCAGGCCACCACUACUUGUUUGCUUUCUCACGAUCAACAACUAUAGUACAACAGAAGGGACGUCAACCCAGAACAUAGUAACAUCUUAAACGGGAGGCAGCCACCUAAGGACAAUAGCCCUCACUAAACGGGAGGUGGCGUUAAUGUCCAGAAUAUAAAAGUGCGCGGUGCCACCCGAGGACAUUAGCCCUCACUAAAUGGGAGGUGGUUAACCGACUGGGAGGUACAUGCACGACCCAGGAUAGCAUAAUACUGUCAAGAACCGUAUUUCACUUGAAUUUAUCAUGUUUCAUUUCUUUUAAGCAUAACAUAAUCAUAAUGAAUAAUUAUAUUAUUUCAUUUCAUCCAUAACAUCAUCAUCAUCAUCAUUUCAUAGCAUCAUAUCAUCAUAACCAUCAUAAAACAUUUCAUUUUCCGCAAUCCAUAUAUAAAAUAUAAUAUUAAUCAUGAUCAUAAAACAUACUUCAAAGGGAAAUGCUGGUAUUAGCAGUAGACGUUAUUACUUGAAUUUCUGCUUAACAACCUUGAUAGCCAGGGGAAGGCUUGUAAUAUCCUUUAUCUUUUUUUAUCUAUUCAAGAAUAAUUUUAUUAAUGAAUGUUUCAUUGUUUAGCUUUUAAGCCUAAAUAUUAGUUGGAGCUAUUUAUAGUCAUAGCGUUCAUUGUAUUGUCAUAAAGUUCUUAAUAAAGGUCAUUGUUAACCUAGUCGUUAAUACCGUCUUAAGGUGAUUCGUUAAUCAACUAAAUAGGUGAAAUAACUCCUUUAUUAGUUAUAUUUUUAGAAUUAUCGAAACAUUAUACUUACAAUUACAUUAAUACAUACUAUAUAACCAUUCACUAGUGGAGAAAACCUCUUUUGCUACAUUACAAGUGCUUCGGUUUUAUACAAAACGGAGCAUUUCACACGCAUAAAUUCAAAUAUUAAUAUAAAAGUGAACAAAUGCUCCGUUUAAACGGAGCACUUGAUAUGAUUCGCACUUUUUAACUGACCCCAGCCCAACUCUUUCUCACCUUUUUUCGAUUCUUUCACCCUUUUUCUCUGUCUCUCCUUGCUUUCUCUCUCCUUGUUCUCCCCCAUCACUCCGUAUCCAUCCAGAAGUUUCUUUCCUUAGAUUUUGUGAACCACCCCCCCCCCAAAUCCAAUCACUUAUUUCCUACAGACCACAAUGCGACCAUCCACCCCACCACCUUCUCUCUCCUCCCUAACUCGGACGCCUCCGAUGGCUACGUCGAGCACCGGCUUCGCGCUUCCAAGCUUGUUCGUCGUCAUUCCGACUCUUCUCUCCUUGAUCUUAUGGUCUCUCUCCCUCACUCCGUCACAAUCCGCCAACAACUGUUGCAUGUCCGUCACCACUAACGAUUCCUCUCCUUCACUGCCGCCCACCUCGCCAGCAACAUCUUUAUUCGGUAUAUUCUAUUAUUGCUGCUAGCAAUCUCGUUCUAACUAUACCAAGGGAAGUUAUGUGGACAAGAGGGUAGUAUCACAAUGAUACCAAAAGUAGGUCGCUCUCUAACUAGUGUAGAUUGUGAAGCAGGAAAGUAUGCGCCAUUAAUGAGCGUUGAUUGUCGGGUUUUGGAGCCAGUUGAAUACUUCUUUGGUUGUGAUUACUGGAAAUUGAAACCGUAUUUAUUGGGGCUAAAAAGGAGCGGUACUGAAAACUAACAGCUCGUAAGCAUGCUCAAAUUAUUCAGAAACUAGGAUUUCGUGCCUCAUUCAAGAAACAUCUGUCCGAAGAUGACCAAAGCAACGGCGACCACCGGGGAAUUCAUCGGCGCUUCCUCUCUCUUUGGUUUGAUAAAUUUUGCCUUCUUUAAGUACUGUUCUAUUGUAAUUAUGCGAAAAGAAUAACCAAAUUUUGUUCACCUAAAAAAAACUGAAUUUUGGUGCUGUAGAUUAGUUGAUUGAUUUGUGCGGGUAAUUGGAUUAGUUUUUAUGAAAAUUUUCUCCUCUUAAUCUACUAUGUUAUCCCUCACUAAUAAAAUAUAAGUUCAUAAACUUAAAAAUCAAAAUUACAACUUCGUGUUACUUGUAAAAUCUAACAUUGAACUCAUGGUGUGCCUUAAUUUAUUUUGAACUCUCAAUGAUACAUACAUUUUUCUAUGUUCUAAUUAGUUAUUACAUGAAGUAACCGGCCUAUUAUAUGAGUAAUGAAGUAAAAGAUUCAAAGUCAACCAUCAAUUUUUAUUUAUUUUUUAUUAUUAUCUUGUUCUGCUUAUUUGGUAUCCAUUUACAAGUUCAAUCUGCAAGUUUAAUCUUCAAACUCCUACAUAAUUAGUUUGAUAUUCUACUGAUUAGCCCUGGGUUAACCUGCCUUUUAUGCAUCUUAAUAUGACUUUACUGUCAUUGUUUCUAAAAUGGAAACUACAUAUGACUUAGUGGCUGCUGCUACUGCUAGCACGUAUGCUACUGGCUGGCAGUAGCUGUUGAAUUUUUUUAUUAUUCAAAAUUUACAAAUGCUUCGGUUGUUGAGGAAAACCGGAGCAUUCGCAACAUCAAAUGCUUCGAUUUUGCUUAAUAACCGAAGCAUUUGUUGAUUUUUACCCAUAUAAAAAAGCUCAAAUGCUCUGAUUUUAAGCACAACCGGAGCAUUUGAAAAUAUAAAUGCUUCGGUUUACAACCGGAGCAUUUGUGAAAUGCUCAAAUGCUCGUAUAAUGUCUGCUACGUGUAAACUACGGAGCAUUUGUGGGCUUUUUAACCGGAGCAUUUGAGAUUUCCACUAGUUACUCGAUUUGACAGAAGUAUAUAUUAUUAUUAUAAGAGUCCAUAGUUAAUCAUCAAUUAAUUGUUUAUUAUUAAUUAACUAAGUUUAUUGCUAUAAUAGAAUCGUUAACAUUAUUGUAAUAUUAUUUAAUCACAUAAAACUAAUAAAUCAAGCUAACUAGUUAUUAUAAGUAAACUUAAGUAUUAGUGAGGUAACAAUAACCUAUACUCUUAUUACAAAUAGCAAGCUUAUUGGAUUAGUUUAAAUUAACUCAAAUAAUAUAGUCAUAAGGAAUUAUAGCCCAAUAAUAGUUAUAUGAAUUAAGUUAGAUGAUUUAAUUAAACUAACUAAGUCAGUCCUUAAAUAAAAUCAUAACAAGUCCAAUUCAUCUUUUAGCCCAACACAUAACAACUCACAAUUACAACACCUAGCUUUAAUUCUAAGUUAAUGGUCCGAGGGCCAAAACAAACAUACUAAACAAGGUUAUUGAUGGGCUUGGGGUAAAAUAAACAUGAGAAAUAAAAACAAAACAAGGCAAGGGUAUACCACUGAUCUUAGAGUGAGCAGCAACGACACGAAGAGGGGGAACGAGGAGCUCUGGUGAAUUGCGGCGAACUCCGAGCAAGGUUGGUGGCUCACGAGGCUCCGGCGCGGCACAGAGGCGUAGAACGCUGCAGCACUCAGAGAAUGGGAGUGGCUGUCGAGGGGGUUGAGCGAGAGAAAUGACGUGUAAGUGCUGGCGUGGUUAGGUGUGAGUGGUGAAGCACAACAGCGAACGGAGACAGAGGUGGGUGGUAGUGCGGCAGCACCAUUGCGGUGCAUAGUAGAGAAACACGAGGCUUGCAUGGGGUUGAGCGAGAAAGAAGGGGAGUGUGAGGAAGAGAGAGAGAGAAAAGGAAUGAGAGAAGGUGGGUGUUGGUGGCGUGCGAGCGUCGAGGGGAGUAGGGGGAGAGCGACUAAGACGCUGCGCGAGGCUGGCGCCGCGCAGUGGUGGCAGAUGGUGGUGGUGGUGUGAGAAGCCCGAAACAGUGGGGAGAGAGAGAAAAAUGAGGGUUUUCUCUUUGGGGUUUCUUUGGGUCACGUUUUCUGGCGAGGUUCCAGUGAGUUUGUGACUGAAAUUGUGGUGUUUGAAAAGGUGGUUCUUAGGUGGUGGUGAGGUGAGAAAUGAGAUAAGGAAGUUUGUUGAUUAUUAUGUUUUUGGUGAGGGGUUUCAUUGGCCACUUAGGGCCUGUUCUCCCCAGCUUAUUUUCAGUUCAGUUCAGUUCAGUUCAGCUCCAAUCAGUUCUGUUCAAUUCAGUUCAGCUCAUCUCCAUUCUUUUAUAACCAUUUUGUUAAAUAUUAUUAUUAUGUUGGUAUAAUUUAUUUUACUAAUUACUAUUAUUAUUAUUAUUAUUAAUUUUUUUUAUUUUUAUUUAAAUUAUUAUCAUUAUUAUUUAAAUAUAUAUCAUUACUAUUAAGUAUUAUUAUUAUUGUUGUUGUUUCUAUAUAUUAUUUGUUGAUUAUAGCUUUACUCAUUAUUAUUACUAUUAUUAUUAGGAGGAACAUGGUUUAGGUCAAAUCACAAAUAAAACCACUUUUUUUAGCCCAUAAACCAAUCAAAUCGCGUCAAGACGGUUUAUGAUGUAAUUUUGGCGGUAUCAUUAUUUUUAUUACUAAAUAUUUUUAUAUUAUUAAAUCUAAUUAUUAAAAUAGUAAUAUUAAUUUACUUCUUAGAUAUUAUUGUUAUUAUAUAUCAUCAUCAAGUAUUAAUAUAUUAAUACAAAUAAUAUAAAAUUAAUUUAAUUCUUAGACAUUAUUGUUAUUAAAUAUCAUCAUCAAGUAUUAAUAUAUUAAUACAAAUAAUAUAAAAUAAUAAUUAUAAAUUAUCAUUAUUAUCAUUAAUUAUUAUUAUUAUUAAUUUAUGAUUAUUAAUAUUAUUUAUUUAUAACUAUCAUUUAAAAAUAUCCAAAAUACUAUUAUUAUUAUUCAUUAUUAUUACUUAUCAUUAUAAUUAUUAUUGUUUAAAAUAUUAUUUAUAUAUUUAUUACAUUCAAUUUAAUUCAAUUUAACUUAAUUCAAUUUAAUUCAAUUCAAUUCAGUUCAGUUCAGUUAAGUUAAAUAAGUUCAGUUCAGUUCAGUUCAGCUGUUUUAUGCUGAAGAGAACAGGCCCUUACAUCUUGUUUGGUAGAAAGGAUUUGGAAGGAAAAGAAAGGAAGUGGAAGGAAAUUUAUUAUUUCCAAUGUUUGGUUCAUUAAAAAGAAAUUAAGUGAAAGGAAAUGAAAGGAAUUGGAAGGAAAGACUCUUUAAUAAAAUUUCACUCUCCUUUCCUCCCAAAAGUGGGGGAAUUUGGAAAGAAAGAGAAAAUUUAUACCAAACAUGGGAAAUUAAGGUUUUUUUCAAUCUCUUCCAUUCUUUUCUUUUCUCUUCCCUCCCUUUCUCUUCUCUUCCUUUCCUUUACUAAAAAUGAACCAAACACAUUAUUAGAGUGGAAUUAAGAGAACCAAAUCAGUAGCUGGGAAGAAAAAAUUGGAGUAAAUAAUUCUGCAUUAUCGAGGAAGAAGAUGGAUUGGAUGGACAGUUUUGGGCGAGAAAAGAAUGGGGAAUGUUGGCAUGUUUGCCAAGUGCCAUGGAAGAGUUGGAAGAAGGUAGAAGUUAUGGGGUAGUUUACUUUGGGAGACUAUUAUUCUUUUUUCCUUUUUUUUUUUUAACAAAAACCAGAAAGUUGUUCUGAAUUUUUUACUUGAGGAAGGAGAUGGGUAGGAUGACAGAUUUUGGCAGAGGAAAAAUAAUGGAGGGUGUUAGCAUGUUUGCCAAGUGCCAUGAAAGAGUGAGGAAGAAGGCAAGAGUUAUGGAGUGUUUGACUUGGAAGACUUUUACUCUUUUCUUUUAUUUUGUAACCCAAGAUCAUGAAAUUUGCUCUACUCUUCAUCAACUUCACGUGGCUUUGUAGAACUUUAGGGAAAUUUGGAUAUCUUUGUGCUUUAGUGAUUUAACAACAAAACUAACAUUCUUGAUUAAUUCAUGAAAUCGUAAAAUAUAAAUUAUCAUCACUUAGUUAUCAACAUUUUUAAGUUGGUAAUUUAUGUUAAUUUUCUAUAUUUGUUUCAUUAUAUUUUGUUUAAUUAGUGAAACGAUAAAAUAAAAUAUAUUUUAACCACUUAUUAUAAUUAAUCAUUUACUUAAAUACGUUUAAGUUUUUAGGAUAUUACAUCCUUACCCCCGUAGAAAAAGUUUCGUCCUCGAAACUUACAUAUCAUUGUCAUAAGGAUAACAUCAUGCAUUCAUAAACUUGAACAUUCAUACAUAGGAUUUCAUAAUCACAUAUACACAUCAAAUUCAUCUAUUCAAACAAGUGAGGGUAUUUUGUUCUAAUCUGAUCCUCUACUUCCCAAGUGGCUUCUGAUGCUGGUGAUUAGCCCAUAAAAUCUUAACCAUAGGAAUCACUUUGUUUCUGAGUUGCUUUUCCCUACAAUCAAGAAUUUCAAUUGGUUUCUCUUCAUACGUCAAAUCCUUCCUUAAUUGCAAAGGGUCGUGCAGUGUCUGAUCACAUGGCUAGGGUCUGGUAUAUACUUCUACAACAUCGACACGUGGAAAACAUUAUGAACUUUAUCCAAGUCAGUCGGUAACGCCAAGCGAUAAGCUACUUCGAUGACUCGUUCCAGAAUCUUGUAUGGACCAAUGUAUCUCGGACUUAGCUUACCAGUUAGACCAAAUCUCAUAAUACCCUUUGUAGCUGAAAUUUUCAAGAAAAGAUGAUCACCUACUUAGAACUCCAAUGGUCUCCUUCGACGGUCUCGUAGCUCUUUUGUCGAUUCUGUGCAGCUUUCAUCCUGACUUGGAUUAAUCAUACUUUUUCCGUUGUUUCUUGUAUCAAGUCAGGUCCAAUCAUCCGUGCUUCAUCAAUGUCACUCCAACACAGGGGUGUUCUACAUCUUCUUCCAUAGAGUGCUUUAGAUGGUGCCAUCUGGAUGCUAGUUUGAUAGCUGUUGUUGUAAGAAAAUUCAACCAAUGACAUGUAUUUCUCCCAACUUCCUUGAAAAUCCAAAAUACAUGCUCUCAACAUAUUUUCAAGAGUCUGGAUGGUUUUUUCAGUUUGACCAUCAGUUGCUGAAUGGAAAUUUGUACUAAAAUCCAGUCUCGUACCAAGUGCCUUUUGCAAUGUUGUCCAAAUUUUCGCUUGGAAACUCGAGUCACGAUCUGACACAAUAGAACUUGGCACUCCAUGCAAUAUGACAAUUGUGCUCACAUAUAAUUCGACUAACUUAACCAAACUCCAUUUAUUUCUAAUGGCCAAUAAAUGUGCGGAUUUUGUUAAUCUAUCCACAAUGACCCAAAAAGAAUUCAUUCCUCGAAAUGACUGUGGCAAUCCCAUAAUAAAAUCCAUUGAAAUUGAAUCCCAUUUCCAUGUAAGUACAUCUAAUGGUUGCAACAAUCCUGCGGGUCUCUGAUGUUCGAUCUUUAUCCUUUGAGAAGCCAAACAUCUCGACACAAAUCCUGCAACUUCUUGCUUCAUAUUGCUCCACCAGAAUGUCUGGUAUAAAUGCUUGUACAACUUGUUCCUCCAGGGCGAACAGAGAAAGGACUAUUGUGAGCUUCUUCCAUAAUUCUCUUUUUCAAUCCUUCAUUAUUAGGAACACAUAUUCUUCUUUGAAAUCUCAACGUGCCAUCAUCUUGGAUCACAAAUCCCGGUGAUUUGUCUUUUGCAACUCCAAGUCUCCAUUUUACGCCUCUUUUAUUUCUUCCAACAAAGUCGGCCUCAACUCAAAUGCAUACAACUGUGCUUCUAUUUUCGGCUGCAUAAUCUCCACUUUCAUCUUUAUCAAAUCAUCAUUGAUUUCUUUCGGCAAGGUCAAGGUUGUGUUUAGGUAGGAUUUUCGGCUUAGAGCAUCAGCUAUAACAUUAGAUUUGCCAGGGUGAUAUAGGAUAUCAACAUCAUAAUCUUUGAUGAGUUCAAGCCAUCUACGUUCCCUCAGGUUCAAUUCUUUUUGGGUAAAAAUGUAUUUAAGGCUUUUGUGGUCGGUGAAGAUCUUACAUGGAACACCAUAGAGAUAGUAUUGUCUCCAUAUUUUGAGAGCAAACACAACUGCGGCUAGCUCAAGGUCAUGAGUUAGGUAGUUUUGUUCAUGAGGCUUGAGUUGACGGGAAGCAUGUGCUAUAACUUUAUCCUUCUGCAUCAACACACACCCUAAUCCAUGCUUAGAGGCAUCACUAUACAAAAAAAAAUUCAUCAGUGGCAGAAGGGAGAGUAAGAACAGGAGCAGUAGUCAGACACUUCUUCAACUCCUGAAAUGCUGCUUCACAUUCAUCACUCCAUACAAACUUAUCAAUGUGUGAUUUAAAUAAUCGGUUCAUCAGAUCCAUGAAAACAGCAGGGGCAUUGGUUAACCCAAAUGACAUUACUUGUAAAUUCACAACUGAAAGCAGUUUUUGAAAUAUCCUCUGGCUUAAUGUGGAAUUGAUGAUAUCCAGAUCUUAAAUCUAUCUUGGAGAAGAUGGUUGCACCUUGAAGUUGAUCGAAAAGAUCAUGAAUACGGGGCAAUGGCUAUUUAUUCUUGAUGGUGAUCUUUUUCAAUUCCCGAUAAUCAAUACAUAACCUCAUGCUUCCAUCUUUCUUCUUGACAAAUAGAACUAGUGCACCCCAUGGUGAUACACUAGGUCGAAUAUACCCCAUCUCGAGUAAUUCAUCUAGUUGCUUUUUAAAUUCUUGUAACUCAGCAGGUGCCAUUCGAUAAGGUGCCUUCGAAAUAGGAGCAGAUCUAGGGACAAGGUCAAUGCUGAAAUCUAUUUUUCUUUCUGGAGGCAUGCCGAAUAUCUCUUCCGAAAAUACAUCAGGGUACUCACAAAUUAUGGGAAUAUCGGACAACAAGGGUUCAGUUUUGGUUAGGUCUACCACAUUAUAGAGGUAUCCAUGAUGACCCUUUGAAAGUAACUUGAAGGCUUUCAAGAUUGAGAUGAUUUCAGGUUUGGGUUGGACUUUUCUUCUUCGAUAAGAAACCUUACACCCUAUCUAGUUUUCUGAAGGUUAUUUCAUGGUUAAGUCAAUUUAUGUCAGCUUUAUACUUUGAUAACCAAUUCAUUCCCAAUAUCACAUCAAAAUCGGGUAAUUCAAUUUGAACAAGGUCCACUUGAAAUUCAAAGCCUCAUAUAAGGAUAGGAUAAUUUCUAUACAUGGCGUUACAUAAGAUGGAUUCACCAUUAGGGAUGGUGACAAAAAUGGCAGAGAAUUCAGAGCAUGAUUUUCCAUUCAAUCUUCUAGAAAAUGCAGUAGAUAUAAACGAAUGGGAAGCUCCAGAAUCGAAAAGAACAUAAGCGGCAACAAAGUUGAUAGGAAAAGUACCAGUAAUGACAGUAUCAUCUGCUUCCGCUUCUUCACGCUGCAUCAUAAAGACUCUUCCAGUCUGCAGAGAGUCCAUGUGGAGGGUUCUUGUUUGCAUUGCUUGCGUUCCCACCAUAACUAGGGUUUUGACCAUUCCUUUAACCACGGUUAACGGCGUUUCCACUUUGCCAAUCAGGAAUCGGACAAUUCUUAAUCACAUGACCUGGUUCACCACACCUGUAACAUUGAUCACUUCCCUUACGAUAUUCAUUGGUCAUGUGGCCUUGUCUUCUGCAAUUGUUGCAUCAAGGAAUUUGCUUCUGAUUCUUUCCCGAAUAUCUCGUGUUUGAUUUUUUGUUGAAGUUGUUGCUGGAACGGCCAUCAUGAGACUUAACUUUUCUUUUUCCACCCUCAUACACAUCCUUACGCAACUUCACUUUCCUUUCAACAUUGAUAUCCCGGUCAUAUAACUCUUGAUAUGACUUACUCAUAUUUGCAUCAAGCCUUUCUUAAAUAUCCAGAUUCAAACCUCCUUCAAAUCAAUUCAUCCUUUGACGAUCCGUAGACACCAGAUCAGGAGCAAAUCGAGCUAACUCAUUGAAUUUCACAACAUAUUUCAUAACUGACAUACCCUUUUGCCUCAGAUGGAUAAACUCAGAUUCCAUCUGGAGCUGCAGAGACUGAGGGUAAAAUUGGUUUCUCAUAGCCUCCUUUAGGCCUUUCCAUCCAAAUCUAGGUUGAUUCUGCAUCUCUUUAGCAGUCUUCCACCACAGAUCAGCUUGCCCUUUUAAGUAGAACACAACAAAGUUAACUUUGCACUUGUCUGGGCACUAGGUGGCAUCAAAGAGUUUCUCCAUGCCAUUCAACCAUUCCUCGAACUCGGUAGGGUCUGGUUUUCCAUCAUAAGUAGGCGACUUAUGAGCAGAAAACCUUUUGAACAUAUUGAAGCAUUCUUCCUGCCCUGUCUUGGCCCUUGGUCGGUUUCCUGGUAAGAAUUCCAUCAUCAGCUUCAUUAUAUCCACCUGAUUUCCAUUAGCAUUUUCAGGCGUUUCUUCAUAAAUAGGGUUACUUUGCAAAGUAUCUAGCCUUGCCCUCAUUUCUUCAAGUGUGACUUCAGACCCAUGAUUUCUGUUUCCUCUAGUAGUUCCACUUUCACUUGUUGCCAUGUUAUAAAAUAUCACAUAUUCCAUGUGCAUAACAUGUUGAAGGAGGCAUAACUAUCAUCGUAAAAAAAAAACAUUCCCUUCCCCGAUCGUAACACUCACACUCAUUUUCAUUUUUAAGCACUUACUAACUACACGUUUAUUAUUCAUAUUAAAUUAUAUUAUAUAAAACUUGUAACUUAUGGUGAUGAUUAUGAUUUUACAAGAUUACUUUGCUAUUUUAUUUAUUUAUUUAUGUAAAACCUUUGGGGUCUUACUUGAGGUACCGAAAACCGUUACUCUGAUACCAACCUGUAACGCACCGACCUCUAAUCAUCGUUGUUUAGUUAAUUAAUCGGUUAUUAGCAGUGGAACCUAGAUAGUCGGCCCUUAUUUUUGUACUUUUCGUUAGGAAAAUACAAGGAAACAUAAACUCAUAAAUUUAAACAUUUUAUAACAUGAAAUGUAAUAUGGAUCUAACAUUAGUUUCGAUUAAUAAAAACUUAGUUACUAAUCAGAGUUUGACAUUCACUUAAAUUAAAACCAUGAGAGUCUACGUAAGUCUAAAUAUUAUAAUAAUCCUCACUGCCACGUCAUCCCGUUAUCACCACCGGUACCUAAAACAUAAAAAAAACGUCGUGAGCCGAGGCUCGGUAAUAUACUACUCUAACAUCGUAAAUUCAAAUCACAUCAUUUUAUUUAAAAACAGGGCGGAGACAAUAAGUAAAACUAUUUCACAAACAUAUCAUAUUAUGUUACAUUAUCUUCUCUAUCAUCAUCAUCUUGAUUCAUAUUAUUUGGUAACUUGGCUCGUACAACAAAAGAGACGUCUCCCUAGAACAUAGUAACAUCGUAAACGGGAGGCAGCCACCCGAGGAUAAAAGCCCUCACUAAACAGGAGGUGGCGUUAAUUCCCAUAUAGAAAUGCGCGAUGCCACCCGAGGAGAAUAACCCUCACUAAACAGGAGGUGGUUAACCGGCCGGGAUGUACGUGCACGAUCCAAGAUAACGGGAUACUUGUCGAGAACCGUCUUUCACUUGAAUUUAUCAUGUUUAAUUUCUUUUAAGCAUAUCAUCAUCAUCAUGAAUGAUUAUAUUCUUUUAUUUCAUCCAUAACAUCAUCAUCAUCAUUCCAUAGCAUCAUAUCAUCAUAACCAUCAUAAAACGUUUCAUCUCCCGCAAUCCAUAUAUAAAACAUAAUAUUAAUCAUGAUCAUAAAACAAAUUUCGAAGGGGAAUGCGGGUGUUAGCAGCGACGUUACCUAGAUUCCCGCUUAACAACCUUGAUAUCCGGAUGAGGCUUGUAAUAUUCUUUAUCUUCUUUAAUCUAUCCAAAAAUAAUUUUAUUAAUGAACGUUUCGUUAUUUAGCUUUUAAGCCUAAAUAUUAGCUAGCGCUUAUUAAGGUCAUAACGUUCAUUAUUUUGUCAAAAAGAUCUUGAUAAAGGUCAUUAUUAUCUUAGUCGUUAAUAACUUCUUAAGAUGACUCUUUAAUAACUAAUUAGGUGAAAGUAGUUCCUUUAGUUAUACUUUAGAAUUAUCGAAACAUUAAAGUUAUAUUAAUACAUAUUAUAUAACCAUUCGAAAGUAUAAUAUUAUUGUAAGAGUUCAUAGUUAAUCAUUUAUUAAUCGUCUAUUAAACUAAUCAAGUUCCUUACUAUACUAGAACCAUUAGCAUUAUUAUAAUAUUUUUUUAAUCACUUAAAACUAAUGAAUCAAGUUAUCUUGUUUUUAUAAGUGAACUUAAGUAUUAGUGAAGUAAUAAUAACUUAAACUCAAGUUACAAUUAACAAGCUUAUUGAGUCAGUUUUAAACACCUCAACUAGUUUUUAGAAAUCAAGUUAAGUGGUUUUGAUUAAACUAACUAAAGCAGUUCAUAAAACAAGUUCAAACAUCUUUUAACCCAACAACAUAACCAUUCAGAUUUAUAAACCCUUUAAGUUCAAAUUGUAGUACCCUAGGCCCAAACUAGUAAACUAACAAAAGAAAUUAAACAUGGGUUUGAUUAGAAAAGAAUUAGAAAAUCAUAAUUUCUUUAAAACAAAAAGGAAGAUGUCGUUACCUCUACUACUAGAGCAGGGACGACGAAGAUCGAGGAGGGAGGGUGAGGAGCUACGGCGAGCAGCGACGCACCGGUGGCGUGGGUUGGAGCGGGACUGGUGGCGCAGACGUCUCGGGCUGGUGCGGCGCUGUUGGGCACGAAGGAGGAGCGAGAAGGAUAGUGCCAUGAAGGAGAGAGAACGCAAGUGCGUGCAGGCGUGGCGUAGCUCCGAUGAGCGUGCAGGUAACCGGCGAGUGUCGCGCAGGUGACACCGGCUAUGUUGGCGUCCGCAAGAUGGUGGGGGCCGGUGGUGGUGUGAAAUCUGAAAUAGAGGAGAGAUAGAGAGAAGAUAAUGGGGUUUUCUUUUGGGGUUUGUUUGGGUCACAUUUUUCGGCGAAUUUGUGUUUGAAAAUAUGGUGUUUGAAAGGUGGUUCGUAGGUGGUGGUGAAGUGAGAGAUGAGAGGAUGAAGCUUGUUGUUCUUGGUGAGGUAUUUUCAUGGCCAUUUAUAGGGUAACUAGAAAUACUAAUUCAGUAGUUGGGAAGGAAGGAGUAAAUAUUUCUGAAUUUCUGACUUUAGGAAGGAGAUGGGUAGGAUGACAGAUUUUUGGCAGAGGAAAAAGAAUGCAGGGUGUUGGCAUGUUUGCCAAGCUAAGUGCCAUGGAAGAGUAAGGAAGAAGGCAAGAGUUAUGGAGUGUUUGACUUGGAAGACUUUUACUCUUUUCCUUUUAUUUUGUAACCAAAAAUCAGAAAAUUUGCUCUACUCUUCAUCAAUGUUCACGUGGCUUUGUAGAACUUUAGUGAAAUUUGGAUAUGUUUGUGCUUUAGUGAUUUAACAAGAAAAAUAACAUUCUUGAUUAAUUUAUGAAAUCGUAAAAUAUAAAUUAUCAUCACUUAGUUAUUAACAUUUUUAAGUUGGUAAUUUUAUGUUGAAAUUCUAUAUUCGUUUUACUAUAUUUUGCAUAAUUAGUGAAACGAUAAAAUAAAAUAUAUUUUAGCCACUUAUUAUAAUUUAUUAUUUACUUAAAAACACGUUUAAGUUUUUAGGAUAUUACACCAAUUCUGGCCAUGAUUAAUGCAAAUCAUUGAUUGGAUUGUAGGCUAAUAAAGAAAUAUUUCAUAUUUUUUUAAGGGUAAAUUUACACAAAUAUCAUAAAUAUAGCAAGUUUUCAUUGAUUUUCUAUUUAGUGUUUAUAAGAAGGCAUUUGGUCCAUUUUGUCCUUAUUGGCAAGAAAAAAAAAAGGUUAUUUUAUUCUGGAUAAAUAUAAAGUAGUCUAAUACUCCUUUUGAAUUUUUUUUAUCUUUCUCAUUUGAAAUCUUGACACUAUUCACGAUUAGAGAGAAUCUUUUAUAUUAUUCUGAAUAUAUAAGGCAAAAAAUAAAUUCAUGUGGGGUCUUAUUUGAUUUAUCUCAAUGAGUACUUUAAUAUUCAAUUGUUUUAAUUUUACUAAUAUAUAGUGAAAGAUAUCUAAUUCCGAUAAAGUGCAUUGACAAAUGCGCACAGUAAAAGUAGAAAAGAUAAAAAAAAAAAAAACACAAA
This is an RNA transcript of Beta vulgaris subsp. vulgaris (sugar beet), 13978 nucleotides long. RefSeq lists it as uncharacterized. The transcript has 7 exons. NCBI's taxonomy places the organism in Eukaryota, Viridiplantae, Streptophyta, Magnoliopsida, Caryophyllales, Amaranthaceae. The record is from RefSeq and is a predicted model, not a curated record.